CUACGGGCCGCAGCAGUGGGGAAUCUUGGACAAUGGGCGCAAGCCUGAUCCAGCCAUGCCGCGUGAGUGAUGAAGGCCUUAGGGUCGUAAAGCUCUUUCGCCAGAGAUGAUAAUGACAGUAUCUGGUAAAGAAACCCCGGCUAACUCCGUGCCAGCAGCCGCGGUAAUACGGAGGGGGUUAGCGUUGUUCGGAAUUACUGGGCGUAAAGCGCGCGUAGGCGGACUAGUCAGUCAGGGGUGAAAUCCCGGGGCUCAACCCCGGAACUGCCUUUGAUACUGCUAGUCUAGGGUUCGAGAGAGGUGAGUGGAAUUCCGAGUGUAGAGGUGAAAUUCGUAGAUAUUCAGAGGAACACCAGUGGCGAAGGCGGCUCACUGGCUCGAUACUGACGCUGAGGUGCGAAAGUGUGGGGAGCAAACAGGAUUAGAUACCCUGGUAGUC
Molecule: ribosomal RNA, 439 nt
Filed under: uncultured bacterium
Lineage: Bacteria
Description: partial 16S ribosomal RNA
Rfam family: Bacterial small subunit ribosomal RNA
Source: RNAcentral